RNAcentral lists this ribosomal RNA (481 nucleotides) under uncultured bacterium. RNAcentral's name for it is "partial 16S ribosomal RNA". It matches the Rfam family "Bacterial small subunit ribosomal RNA", at positions 28 to 507 of the family's 1533-position model. The record is from RNAcentral.
GAUGAACGCUGGCGGCGUGCUUAACACAUGCAAGUCGAACGAAGCACUUUAUUUGAUUUCCUUCGGGACUGAUUAUUUUGUGACUGAGUGGCGGACGGGUGAGUAACGCGUGGGUAACCUGCCUUGUACAGGGGGAUAACAGUUGGAAACGGCUGCUAAUACCGCAUAAGCGCACAGCAUCGCAUGAUGCAGUGUGAAAAACUCCGGUGGUAUAAGAUGGACCCGCGUUGGAUUAGCUAGUUGGUGAGGUAACGGCCCACCAAGGCGACGAUCCAUAGCCGACCUGAGAGGGUGACCGGCCACAUUGGGACUGAGACACGGCCCAAACUCCUACGGGAGGCAGCAGUGGGGAAUAUUGCACAAUGGGCGAAAGCCUGAUGCAGCGACGCCGCGUGAGCGAAGAAGUAUUUCGGUAUGUAAAGCUCUAUAAGCAGGGAAGAUAAUGACGGUACCUGACUAAGAAGCACCGGCUAAAUACGUG